RNAcentral lists this small nuclear RNA (122 nucleotides) under Helianthus annuus (common sunflower). RNAcentral describes it as "sRNA HanXRQr2_Chr10g0453281". It matches the Rfam family "U2 spliceosomal RNA". From Rfam's summary of the family: U2 is a small nuclear RNA (snRNA) component of the spliceosome (involved in pre-mRNA splicing). Complementary binding between U2 snRNA (in an area lying towards the 5' end but 3' to hairpin I) and the branchpoint sequence (BPS) of the intron results the bulging out of an unpaired adenosine, on the BPS, which initiates a nucleophilic attack at the intronic 5' splice site, thus starting the first of two transesterification reactions that mediate splicing. The record is from Rfam by way of RNAcentral. Lineage: Eukaryota; Viridiplantae; Streptophyta; Magnoliopsida; Asterales; Asteraceae.
AUACCUUUCUCGGCCUUUUGGCUAAGAUCAAGUGUAGUGUUUGUUCUUAUAAGUUUAAUAUCUGAUAUGUGGGUCAUAGACACAGUCGAUAUUUUAGUUUUUUUUGGCAAAUUUGAAUCACU